Molecule: ribosomal RNA, 253 nt
Filed under: uncultured bacterium
Lineage: Bacteria
Description: partial 16S ribosomal RNA
Rfam family: Bacterial small subunit ribosomal RNA
Source: RNAcentral
UACGUAGGGGGCAAGCGUUGUCCGGAAUCAUUGGGCGUAAAGAGCGUGUAGGCGGCUCGAUAAGUCUGCUGUGAAAGUCCAGGGCUCAACCCUGGAAGGCCGGUGGAAACUGUCGGGCUAGAGUCCGGAAGAGGCGAGUGGAAUUCCCGGUGUAGCGGUGAAAUGCGUAGAUAUGUGGAGGAACACCGAUGGCGAAGGCAGCCCCCUGGGUUAACACUGACGCUCAUGCACGAAAGCGUGGGGAGCAAACAGG